CUUUUUUCACUCAUUUUUUUCCAACAGGAAAACAAAUUGAUUGGAACAACAUUUGGUUUUCACCUGGUGAUGGCCAUUGUGUUGAUUUUUGGACAUGUUCUGCUGAGGUGAGUCCCCAUCAGCUGCCACCACCACCAUAAUUAUCAAUAUACAAACCUCUUCUUUACUUAUUACUCUCAUUCAAAUUAACUAAUAUUAACGUGUGUAACAUUACAAACGCCAGAUAGGGUGAAAAGGAAAAGCAUUAAAAAAAUUUGGUCAAAAUUUGGUCUAUUUAUCAAAUAUUACCAAUCAGGUUUGAAGAUGCUUCCGGAUUGUUCUCCUUCACCCACUCAUCCACAGUUUCCUUCCAUUUCCUAAACAUCAAGAUGAAAUUAUAAGAAAUGAAGAGGAGAUUUAAUGCUAUAUGAUGAAAUAAAAUAUAAAACUUCAACCGCGUCAGUUAAUCUCGUAUAAAUGCAAAUACCUGACAAGCUCCUUCACCAAUCUGCGCACUUCAUUUGAAGGAUACUUCCGCAAUCCAUUGACAUACCUUCCUAUAUCAGUUUCCUGCUCCAUAUAUUCAAACCCAAAAAUGUAAUAAGAAUAAUGUCAAAAGAUUAAAUAAAUUAGCUGGAAAACUUAUCAUUUCCACCUUCAGCGCUUGGAAAGUAAUAUCCAUAUCUGCCAGAUUUUGCAGCAAUUCCACAACAUAUUCUUCACUCUACAUCCAAAAGAAAAAGAAAAACCAGAAAUGAAAUGUACAACAAACUAAAGCAGACCACAAGAAGCAAAUUUUCAAUAAAACAGAGAAUUCACCUGGUUAGGGUCUUCAAGCUGCUCUUUGAAUCUGAGAAUUUUAGUCUGCUCAUCGUCAAAUAGCCCCCCGUACGGAUCCAAAUCUUCUUCUUCCUCCUCUCCUCCAGUAGAAUUCCGAUUAUUUGACUCAGGAGUCAACGGGCUCUUACUAAAUUCCUCGUUUGUAAUAUCAUUACUAAAAAUGCUAUUUUUUUUGUUACCGUUAGCAUAAUCGUUGUUAUUAUCGCUAUUGUUAUUAUGAGAAUAAUAGUGAUCUUGAACCUCGUCGUUGAUACUGCUAUUGCAGUUUUGGCAGAGCUGAUUACUGGAAGGGGAAGAAUAGAGCGACUCAACGAUUUUAUCUCUGCGAUGCUUCAAAUCUUCGGCGUAGUCAGAAAUGGCCACUUUGAUCGCCGUGUCAAUCAGCGCCCAAAUCCCCACUCGCGAUCUCGACAAAAUCGCCCGAAGCUCAUCGGAAUCCAUUCAGAAAGUUCCUCUUCUUAGCUAAAGAAAAUUGAAAAAUGAAUAGAAACAGGAAUCACUAAGAGUAAAAUUUUGGAAUACAUUAUUGGAUCUGAUGGUUUCUGAGUUAGUACGUAGAGACGACGCCGUGUUUGAGGUUUUAUGUUCUGUUUUGAAUGGAUUGAUUUAGCAGAUGAAAAAUUCAGAUCUGAUUUUGUCCUGACCAACAUUAACCAAAUGCACAACGAAGAAACCAACAAAAAAUUACCAACUGCAAAUUUCAGAAUCUGAUUCAUACAUUCGCUCCGUGGAUUUGGAGAGUAACCGAAAUCCGGCACCUGUAAAAACAGAAUUUUAGAAUUUCGAAAUUGUAUUCAUACCAACUUUGCUUCUUUUUUCCCUGAUAUUUGCCAUUUACAGACCCCCACAAGUUUUCGUGGGUAAAAAUGAAUUUUAAAUACUAACUUUGAUUCUGUAAAUAAUUUCACAAUUAAUUUCGUAAUUCAAAGAACAAUUUAAAAAAAAAAGGGAGUACUGGUGAGCUGUGAAGCAAUAUUAGUUUUGUUGACACAUAAAAAUUCAGCCCAAAUCAAACAGCCCAAGGAAUAAAGUCCAAUUGGAGGAUCCCCAAAUUAGAUAGCCCAAAAAACGAAAUCCAAUCAAACGAAUCAAGGUAAAGGCCCAAAUAAGGGGCCCAAGAAUACGGUAACGCCUUCUUUUUUCACUCAUUUUUUUCCAACAGGAAAACAAAUUGAUUGGAACAACAUUUGGUUUUCACCUGGUGAUGGCCAUUGUGUUGAUUUUUGGACAUGUUCUGCUGAGGUGAGUCCCCAUCAGCUGCCACCACCACCAUAAUUAUCAAUAUACAAACCUCUUCUUUACUUAUUACUCUCAUUCAAAUUAACUAAUAUUAACGUGUGUAACAUUACAAACGCCAGAUAGGGUGAAAAGGAAAAGCAUUAAAAAAAUUUGGUCAAAAUUUGGUCUAUUUAUCAAAUAUUACCAAUCAGGUUUGAAGAUGCUUCCGGAUUGUUCUCCUUCACCCACUCAUCCACAGUUUCCUUCCAUUUC
This 2310-nucleotide long non-coding RNA is filed under the name Olea europaea (common olive). RNAcentral describes it as "long non-coding RNA (OEUR_LNC007206)". Lineage: Eukaryota; Viridiplantae; Streptophyta; Magnoliopsida; Lamiales; Oleaceae. The record is from RNAcentral.